GGGUUGUGAGGUUAAGCGACUAAGCGUACACGGUGGAUGCCCUGGCAGUCAGAGGCGAUGAAGGGCGUGCUAAUCUGCGAUAAGCGCCGGUAAGGUGAUAUGAACCGUUAUAACCGGCGAUACCCGAAUGGGGAAACCCAGUGUGAUUCGUCACACUAUCAUUAACUGAAUCCAUAGGUUAAUGAGGCGAACCGGGGGAACUGAAACAUCUAAGUACCCCGAGGAAAAGAAAUCAACCGAGAUUCCCCCAGUAGCGGCGAGCGAACGGGGAGGAGCCCAGAGCCUGAAUCAGCAUGUGUGUUAGUGGAAGCGUCUGGAAAGGCGCGCGAUACAGGGUGACAGCCCCGUACACAAAAGCGCAUGUGUUGUGAGCUCGAUGAGUAGGGCGGGACACGUGGUAUCCUGUCUGAAUAUGGGGGGACCAUCCUCCAAGGCUAAAUACUCCUGACUGACCGAUAGUGAACCAGUACCGUGAGGGAAAGGCGAAAAGAACCCCGGCGAGGGGAGUGAAAAAGAACCUGAAACCGUGUACGUACAAGCAGUGGGAGCACCCUUUGGGGUGUGACUGCGUACCUUUUGUAUAAUGGGUCAGCGACUUAUAUUCUGUAGCAAGGUUAACCGAAUAGGGGAGCCGGAGGGAAACCGAGUCUUAAUUGGGCGUUAAGUUGCAGGGUAUAGACCCGAAACCCGGUGAUCUAGCCAUGGGCAGGUUGAAGGUUGGGUAACACUAACUGGAGGACCGAACCGACUAAUGUUGAAAAAUUAGCGGAUGACCUGUGGCUGGGGGUGAAAGGCCAAUCAAACCGGGAGAUAGCUGGUUCUCCCCGAAAGCUAUUUAGGUAGCGCCUCGUGAAUUCAUCUCCGGGGGUAGAGCACUGUUUCGGCUAGGGGGCCAUCCCGGCUUACCAACCCGAUGCAAACUGCGAAUACCGGAGAAUGUUAUCACGGGAGACACACGGCGGGUGCUAACGUCCGUCGUGAAGAGGGAAACAACCCAGACCGCCAGCUAAGGUCCCAAAGUCAUGGUUAAGUGGGAAACGAUGUGGGAAGGCCCAGACAGCCAGGAUGUUGGCUUAGAAGCAGCCAUCAUUUAAAGAAAGCGUAAUAGCUCACUGGUCGAGUCGGCCUGCGCG
RNAcentral lists this ribosomal RNA (1133 nucleotides) under Salmonella enterica. Its description in RNAcentral is "partial 23S ribosomal RNA". It matches the Rfam family "Bacterial large subunit ribosomal RNA", at positions 1 to 1165 of the family's 2925-position model. Lineage: Bacteria; Pseudomonadati; Pseudomonadota; Gammaproteobacteria; Enterobacterales; Enterobacteriaceae. The record is from RNAcentral.